GUCCGGUAUGGGCGCCAAAACACAUAAGGUCUCCAUACCCCGUGCGGUAUGAGAGAAUACGUUCCCGGUAGGGUUCCCUACGGACUCGGUCCGUCCACCAUCUCCCAGGAUAUCUAGUCAGACUGUCCACAUUAUCGAACUUGCCUUUUUUCUUGAUCUCAAUCAUCCAAUCAUACACAAUAUGUAAACCAGUAAUUGACACCAAACAAGACAACACAGUAUCGGGUUUACCAUAAUACAAACCAUAAUAAAAGAAACCAUGAUUCAUGCAUACGAGACCAUAACAUAAUUAUAUCAAACAUCAUGCUACAUUUAAUACUGAAAAUUAGAUCAAACAAUAACAGAUCGACACUGUAUCAGACUCGGGCUCCACUAGCAACCUUAAUCAAUUAUACAUCUAUAAAGUCACACAGUACAUUUUAAUUAUUUAUUUAGCU
Molecule: long non-coding RNA, 437 nt
Filed under: Carica papaya (papaya)
Lineage: Eukaryota; Viridiplantae; Streptophyta; Magnoliopsida; Brassicales; Caricaceae
Description: long non-coding RNA (CPAP_LNC000048)
Source: RNAcentral